GUCUAUAGCCAGAUCACCUUGAAUGUGUUUGAUCUUGUCUUAUCUCAGAAGCUAAGCCAGAUCAGACCUGGUUAGUACUUGGAUGAGAGACUGCAUGUCAAUACCACAUGUCAUAAGCU
This 119-nucleotide ribosomal RNA is filed under the name Otolemur garnettii (small-eared galago). Lineage: Eukaryota; Metazoa; Chordata; Mammalia; Primates; Galagidae. The record is from RNAcentral.